This is a small nuclear RNA of Hyaena hyaena (striped hyena), 102 nucleotides long. The record is from RefSeq and is a predicted model, not a curated record. NCBI's taxonomy places the organism in Eukaryota, Metazoa, Chordata, Mammalia, Carnivora, Hyaenidae.
UUGCUUCAGCAGCACAUGUACUAAAAUUAGAAUGAUACAGAGAAGAUUAGCAUGGCCCUGUGCAAGGGUGACAUGCAAAUUCAUGAAGUGUUCCAUAUUUUU